GUUGUGGCUCAGUGAUAGAGUGCUUGCCUUGCACGUGAGGGGUACUGAGUUCAAUCCUCUCCGCACCACA
This 70-nucleotide transfer RNA is filed under the name Marmota monax (woodchuck). Its description in RNAcentral is "tRNA.Ala". The record is from RNAcentral. Lineage: Eukaryota; Metazoa; Chordata; Mammalia; Rodentia; Sciuridae.